RNAcentral lists this unclassified non-coding RNA (193 nucleotides) under fungal sp. Its description in RNAcentral is "partial internal transcribed spacer region". The stretch from base 1 to 46 matches the Rfam family "Eukaryotic small subunit ribosomal RNA", at positions 1786 to 1831 of the family's 1831-position model. The record is from RNAcentral. Lineage: Eukaryota; Fungi. RNAcentral also lists the same sequence under 1 other name.
AAGUCGUAACAAGGUUUCCGUAGGUGAACCUGCGGAAGGAUCAUCAUUAAAUCCAUUUAUACACCCUUGUGAACUGUGCGCUGAAGUUGCUACGCUUGUCGUGCAUCUUUCGUUGCAAAAACUACUUAAUUUAAUAAAGCUGAAGCAAUUAUUUUAAAUAAAACAACUUUCAACAAUGGAUCUCUUGGCUCUC